CAGAUUUGAGAGUCUGACAUAGGAGAAAUUCUGAGGGAUAUUAUAUGGGACCUAUUUUUCUGAUAGUAUGAAGAAAAACUUAAAGAUAAUCUGAGGAGAACGAGAUAGGGAGAUCGAUCUGUACAGGACUUUACGUGAGGGAGUUUGGUCGAGUUCUAAACAGCACAGGAUGAGUGGUAUAAAGCAUAUUUAUUUGAGAGAGGAUUACGAUCAGAUAUUCAUCAGUUUGUAUAGCCGCAACUUUUUCAGACUUUGGAUGAGGUGAUUGAGAUGGCAUUAUGGGUUGAAAGAGGUGCGACAGUAAUGAAGGAACAGCAGAAAUAUGAAAAAAGGAAAAUGAGGAGAAGAAACCGACAGAAAGUGGUAGGAAGUUAUCUAGUAAAAAAAGACCGCCAAAGUAUUCACGAUAUCACUUUCAGGGUCGUGGGUCUUUCGCGGGACGAAGGUCUGGAGGUCCGGAGCAGCGGCGGCGGCAACAGAAAAGAUGUCUGAUUUGUGGUGGGCCACACUUACCUCAUAUGUGUGCUCAGCAAG
This 534-nucleotide long non-coding RNA is filed under the name Ananas comosus (pineapple). RNAcentral describes it as "long non-coding RNA (ACOM_LNC012457)". Lineage: Eukaryota; Viridiplantae; Streptophyta; Magnoliopsida; Poales; Bromeliaceae. The record is from RNAcentral.